This 407-nucleotide ribosomal RNA is filed under the name uncultured bacterium. RNAcentral describes it as "bacterial SSU rRNA". It matches the Rfam family "Bacterial small subunit ribosomal RNA", at positions 8 to 422 of the family's 1533-position model. The record is from RNAcentral.
AGAGUUUGAUCCUGGCUCAGAAUGAACGUUGGCGGCGUGCCUAACACAUGCAAGUCGAGCGUGAAAGUCCUUCGGGAUGAGUAAAGCGGCGGACGGGUGAGUAACGCGUGAGAAUUUACCUUUUAGUGGAGAAUACCUUUGAGAAAUCAAAGUUAAUACUGCAUACGUCUCGAAAGAGAGAAAGAUGGCCUAAUUGCUGUCGCUAGAAGAUAAGCUUGCGUUCUAUUAGUUAGUUGGUGAGGUAAUGGCUCACCAAGACGAUGAUGGAUAGCCGGCCUGAGAGGGCGAACGGCCACAUUGGAACUUAGACACGGUCCAAACUCCUACGGGAGGCAGCAGUGAGGAAUAUUGCACAAUGGGCGAAAGCCUGAUGCAGCGACGCCGCGUGGAGGAUGAAGGUUUUCGGA